RNAcentral lists this ribosomal RNA (228 nucleotides) under uncultured bacterium. Its description in RNAcentral is "partial 16S ribosomal RNA". It matches the Rfam family "Bacterial small subunit ribosomal RNA", at positions 111 to 334 of the family's 1533-position model. The record is from RNAcentral.
UAACGCGUAGGUAACCUGCCUGGUAGCGGGGGAUAACUAUUGGAAACGAUAGCUAAUACCGCAUAAGAACAUUUACUGCAUGGUAGAUGUUUAAAAGGUGCAAAAGCAUCACUACCAGAUGGACCUGCGUUAUAUUAGCUAGUUGGCGAGGUAACGGCUCACCAAGGCAACGAUACAUAGCCGACCUGAGAGGGUGAUCGGCCACACUGGGACUGAGACACGGCCCAG